RNAcentral lists this ribosomal RNA (714 nucleotides) under bacterium F12CA. RNAcentral's name for it is "bacterial SSU rRNA". It matches the Rfam family "Bacterial small subunit ribosomal RNA", at positions 662 to 1375 of the family's 1533-position model. The record is from RNAcentral.
UAGAAUUCCAGGUGUAGCGGUGAAAUGCGUAGAGAUCUGGAGGAAUACCGAUGGCGAAGGCAGCCAUCUGGCCUAACACUGACGCUGAGGUGCGAAAGCAUGGGGAGCAAACAGGAUUAGAUACCCUGGUAGUCCAUGCCGUAAACGAUGUCUACUAGCCGUUGGGGCCUUUGAGGCUUUAGUGGCGCAGCUAACGCGAUAAGUAGACCGCCUGGGGAGUACGGUCGCAAGACUAAAACUCAAAUGAAUUGACGGGGGCCCGCACAAGCGGUGGAGCAUGUGGUUUAAUUCGAUGCAACGCGAAGAACCUUACCUGGCCUUNACAUAGUAAGAACUUUCCAGAGAUGGAUUGGUGCCUUCGGGAACUUACAUACAGGUGCUGCAUGGCUGUCGUCAGCUCGUGUCGUGAGAUGUUGGGUUAAGUCCCGCAACGAGCGCAACCCUUUUCCUUAUUUGCCAGCGAGUAAUGUCGGGAACUUUAAGGAUACUGCCAGUGACAAACUGGAGGAAGGCGGGGACGACGUCAAGUCAUCAUGGCCCUUACGGCCAGGGCUACACACGUGCUACAAUGGUCGGUACAAAGGGUUGCUACCUAGCGAUAGGAUGCUAAUCUCAAAAAGCCGAUCGUAGNNCGGAUUGGAGUCUGCAANNCGACUCCAUGAAGUCGGAAUCNNNAGUAAUCGCGGAUCAGAAUGCCGCGGUGAAUACGUUCCC